AUGGACUACAGCAGUGAAGAAGAGUCAGAUUUUAGUGACUCAGAGAUCAAUGACUACGCUGAGAAACCAUAUGAACAGCUGAGGACUGGAAAGCUUGUUGUAAAAACAGCAAAUGGAAUUCUUAGAUGCCCGUUCUGUAUGGGCAAGAAGAAACAGGACUACAAAUAUAAGGAUUUACUUCAGCAUGCUUCUGGAGUGAGUAAAGGCUCUAAGAACAGGAAUGCUAAACAGAAGGCGAACCAUCUUGCUUUAGCAAAAUAUCUGGAGAAUGAGCUAGCUUCUGAAGCAGACCAAACACAGCGUCCAGCUCCACCAACUCCUAUCAGUCAGGAUUCUGAAAAAGAGCUUUAUGUAUGGCCGUGGAUGGGUGUCAUAGUCAAUAUAGAGGUAGGGGAGGAUAGAAAGACAGUCUGUGAUUCAGCAUAUUGGAUAAAAAAGUUUGCUAAAUAUAGACCAUUAGAUGUUUAUAUUUUUUGGAAUGAUAAUGAACCGAAAGCUCAGGCAAUAGUUGAAUUCAAUAAUGAUUGGAAUGGUUUUGUGAAUGCAACGGACUUCGAAAAAUUGUUUGAGACCAACAAUCAUUGCAAAAAGAAUUGGAAAACCAAGACAAAUACCAGCUUGGAUAUUUAUGGUUGGUGUGCACGGGCUGAUGAUUAUAAUUCAAAUGAGCCUAUAGGAGAGUUUCUUCGACAAAGAGGGAAAUUGAGGACUGUCUCAGACAUUGUGAAUGAAGCAACUCAAAGUAGAAAUACUGUUGUGGAGAAUCUGACGCAUGAAAUUGAUUUGACGAAUGAAAAUCUGGAUGAACUACAAUACAAGUACAAUGAGAAGACUAUGUCUUUAAGUAGGAUGCUUGAAGAGAAAGAUCAGCUUCACCAUGCUUUUGUUGAAGAAACCAGAAAGACACAAAGACUUGCACGAGAUAAUGUUCGAAGAAUAUUAGAAGAACAAGAAAAAUUGCACCAAGAAUUGGAGAUUAAGAAAAAGAAACUUGAUUCCUGGAGUAAGCAAUUGAACAAACGCGAAGCAUUGACUGAACUCGAGAGACAAAAACUUGAUGAAGAGAAGAAAAAGAAUGAUAUGAGGAACAAUUCGCUCCAAUUGGCUUCCUUGGAACAGAGGAGGGCUGAUGAAAAUGUUUUACGUCUUGUUGAAGAACAGAAGAGAGAGAAAGAAGAGGCUUUAAGCAAGAUUCUUCAGCUGGAAAAGCAGCUGGAUGCCAAGCAGAAGCUGGAAAUGGAAAUUCAAGAAUUAAAAGGGAAACUACAGGUUAUGAAGCAUCUUGAGGAUCAAGAUGAUGAAGGAGUGAAACAGAAGAUGAAAGAAAUGGAUGAUGAUUUAAAUCAAAAGGUUGAGGAUUUGAAUGAUUUGCACGAACUGUAUCGAACUCUUGUUGCCAAGGAGCGUGAAAGCAAUGAUGAGUUACAAGAGGCCCGUAAAGAAUUAAUAGCUGGAUUGCAAGACCAAUCAUCAAAUGCCCGUGUUAAUAUUGGAAUAAAGAGAAUGGGGGAUAUUGAUAUUAAACCGUUCCAGAACACUUGCAAACAGAGAUUUUCUCCUGACGAGGCAAUGGUGCAAGCCUCCACUUUAUGCUCCUUGUGGCAGGAUAAUUUGACGGAUCCAAAUUGGCAUCCAUUUAAAGUUGUUACCAUCGAUGGGGAUUCCCAGGAAAAUAUUGAUGAGGACGAUGAGAAACUGAAAGGUCUCAAGCAGGAAUGGGGUGAUGAGAUAUACAAUGCUGUCGUAACUGCCCUUAAAGAAAUAAAUGAAUAUAAUCCAAGUGGUCGUUAUUCUGUACCUGAGCUAUGGAACUUUAAGGAGGGAAGGAAAGCUACUUUGAAGGAGGUCAUCAACUAUAUUGUUAAGAGCAUCAAGUCACUAAAACGAAAGAGAACAUGAGAAGAUCCGAGAAGUGGAAGAGAACACGAGAGGAAGAGCAACUGCUUGGACCAACGUUGACUGCCACAAGUGGAAGACUGGGAAUUUUUGGCGAUGUUGAUCACAAGAGGGAGCUUCAUGAGCCAUGCUCGUUCUAAACAACACAUCUAAUUACAAGGAGGAAUCUUUUCAGGUGAAGGAUUCGAUGAUAAUUGCACAGCCUUAUUGCUUGCAACUUGUCCAGUGGGACCAUUUCCUGUGGUAAAUGGAACAAACAACUCCUACCAGAGAAGCAAAUUCAUCUUCUUGACUUCUGUUUGUAGUAUUUAGCCCAGAGGUAAAGGGCUACCAAGGAAGAAAAAAAUAAAUUGAAAAACAAAAAAGAAACAGAAAAAAAAAAGAAAAUUAGUAUCACAUAUCUGAUCCUGGGGAAUACUGACCUGUACUCCUGACAUCUUAUAUUUGGAUGCUCUCAUUUAAUGUAUGCUCAGCCAUGAUGGUUUUGAACAUUUGGGUCUUGAUUCUGAAUUGACUGAUUAUGAAUUUUAGACUUA
RNA transcript from Benincasa hispida (wax gourd), 2432 nucleotides. It is a transcript of the gene named factor of DNA methylation 1-like, with no coding region annotated. Lineage: Eukaryota; Viridiplantae; Streptophyta; Magnoliopsida; Cucurbitales; Cucurbitaceae. The record is from RefSeq and is a predicted model, not a curated record.